UAUGUUAAAACAAACCCUCAUUCUUUAAAAAAGAGGGCUUUUUAAGAAAACACCCUUUAAGAAAAAGUUUUUUAUAAAAUGAAAGAAAAACUUUCUUGGAAGAGUGUAUUUUUUAUCUAAGAGUUUGCUCUUUUAUUUGAGAGUUUGCUUUUUUAAGAGUUUUCCGGGGAAGGUUUUCCGGUUUAUCCCGGAGGGCUUGUAGCUCAGUUGGUUAGAGCGCGGAUUGAUAAACGAGAGGCGGAAUUCUGUCUCCCCCCCCCCAAAAACACAUCAAAUAAUA
Molecule: unclassified non-coding RNA, 280 nt
Filed under: Bartonella vinsonii subsp. berkhoffii
Lineage: Bacteria; Pseudomonadati; Pseudomonadota; Alphaproteobacteria; Hyphomicrobiales; Bartonellaceae
Description: partial 16S-23S ribosomal RNA intergenic spacer
Source: RNAcentral